RNAcentral lists this ribosomal RNA (253 nucleotides) under uncultured bacterium. RNAcentral's name for it is "partial 16S ribosomal RNA". It matches the Rfam family "Bacterial small subunit ribosomal RNA", at positions 524 to 776 of the family's 1533-position model. The record is from RNAcentral.
UACGUAGGUGGCAAGCGUUGUCCGGAAUUAUUGGGCGUAAAGCGCGCGCAGGCGGUCCUUUAAGUCUGAUGUGAAAGCCCUGGGCUCAACCCAGGAAGUGCGUCAGAUACUGGUGGACUGGAGUGGCGGAGAGGAUGGCGGAAUUCCCGGUGUAGAGGUGAAAUUCGUAGAUAUUCGGAAGAACACCAGUGGCGAAGGCGACUUACUGGACACAUAUUGACGCUGAGGUGCGAAAGCGUGGGGAGCAAACAGG